Non-coding RNA from Lolium perenne, 1499 nucleotides. The record is from RefSeq and is a predicted model, not a curated record. NCBI's taxonomy places the organism in Eukaryota, Viridiplantae, Streptophyta, Magnoliopsida, Poales, Poaceae.
CGUUAUUUUUCAUCAACGAUGCCGCCGGCCGUUGAGGACGAAGAGCAUCAUCCAAGUCCCACCAAAUCCGCUCGAGCUCUAGUCGCCAGCCUAGGCGACCUGCCAGAUGAGAUGAUUUCAGCUGUCUUGGCCGCUGCAGCUGCCUCCGCCGACUCACCGGCAGACCUUCUCUCCGCUAUCAUGACGUGCUAGAAUGUUUUUUCGUUGGGCUGGGGUGCAUCAGUCAUCAAGAAUGCAUCCCCCCUCAUCGCGAUCCAUGUGAAAUCAUGGUGUCUUGGCGCCAAACAAUUCUUGCAACGUUUGCAAUGACGCCGGGAACCUCGAUGCAUCAUUCAUACUUGGGAUGAUCUUGUACCUGGACGGGGAGAACCGCCACGGCAACGUCCUCAACGAGUACUUGUACCUCUCCGGCCGCGUCGACAUGCGCGCGGUCGAGACGACCGUCCAGCACCUCACAUCGGCUCCGGCGCAUGGACCUCAGGACGGAGAACAACCCCUACAUCAGCUUCGUCUACACACGCUUCCAGGAGCGCGCCACGGCCGUCUCCCACGGCAACACCGCACGCCUCGCCAGGGCGCGCGGUGACGGCGUCCUGGCUCGCGUCUGCGGCACCAUUGCCGCCGACGAUAAGCGCCACGAGAUAGCCUACGCCCGCAUCGUGGAGCAUGGCGCACGUGCUGUGUAUGACUUCUUCAUGCCGCCAGCAAAAAAGAAGGAGGAGCAACAUCUCAGAUUCGAUGAUCUGCUGGAUGAUAUGGUGGUCUCCAUAAUUGUUGAUGUUGCUGCAUCCGCCGGGUCGCUGGCCGACCUAGCAGGGGUUACCAUGAUGUAAGAUCCUCGCACGCAAGAACAAUAGAUUAUCGUCUCUCUUUUUUUAGGAUGCUACUGCAGGUGCAAAAAUGUUUGGAAGCUAGGACACAACAAUUUUGUUCUCAAGAAGGCGUCGCAGCUGUGCCUCACCGUCCAUGCAAGAGAGCGGACUCCGGCAACCUUGACGCCUCCUAUACACUUGGCAUGAUCUUGUUAUACUUGCGGCCGUUGUCGGUUGUCACAAGGAGGCGAUCUACUCGAUGGCCAUCAUCGUGUUCAACAGCAGUGUCGACAUCAGGGAGAGCCGCGUCAUCCUUGCCGGCGCCGGCGCUGUGCGUGCGCACGGCCUCACUUGGCCAGGUGAUGCGCUACGCGAGCUUGGGCACUCGUGCAUGAUGGAUACGGCCGGCGUGGAACGCUCGAUUCCCGACCAGCGCCAUGAAGUCAAGACGUGGCGUUUUAUGUUUUUACUGAUGGCAGCUGUUGCAAAGCUUCAAUAAUGUAUCAAUUUUUUUGCACGCGUUUUUAGCGAUAGUUAGAUUGAAUCUUCAGCUAAGUUAGCAAGAAGGAAUUGUAUGCCUUUGGCACAUUUAGCUUCCAUGGAAGACGAUUUAUGUGUAGGUUUGUGUAAUGUUUCACACGUGUUUUCUUUGAGAUGCACGUCUACGUACUAUUUCCAAAAACUAGC